GUAAUGAAAGUACUAGGUAUAUAGGGGGAAAUGCCCUCUGUUAGUUUUUAAGCCGAGGAAAUGAGAGUCAUAAAAAUAUAACCACAGAAACAACAACAACAACAACAACAACAAGAUUUUGGCUUACUUCAUCCUUUAAAUGAAUUCUUUUUUUUAAACGUUGAUUACAUCCAGAUGUGUUUCUGAGCGCUUGGAUGCAGUAAGACAAGAUAAACUUGCUGACUUAUGCAUGUUCACUGCUCUGUUUAAAGUGGUUGAGCACAUGAUGAGGUGCAGCCUCAAAUCAUACCUUCACACAGACGGCACAAAAAGAGUGGCAAGGGUUGGCAAGGGACCAACCUUACGGUCAGAAAGACUGGGUUCAUUAAAUUUAGAGAAUGCACUCAGACUGAGAUUUAAGUGUCACUGGAAGUCAAGAACUUUUAACAAGAGGUGGUUACAUUGUUUCUAACGAGUGAAUGAAGCAAACCGUUUAGUGUUCAGAGUAGGCUGUGGACUGGCAGAGACUGGAGCCAAGCACAGUUACAUGGUUUUGAUGUGUCUCAGUGAGAGUGGCUGUCACCAAUAGGGCCAGUUCUGAGAAGAUCACUAAGAAGGAAACAGAUGUUUCAUGAAUGUAAGUUCCUCUUCCUGUCACCACUGAAGGUGUGUGACUCCAGGAGGAAACACGUGGGUUAUAUAUUUGGUUCUGGUAUAGUUAUUAGCAGUAUUCAUUUAAAAAUGCAUGAGAUGAAUUUGUUUAGAAAAUUUAAUGCUUUUACAGUAAAGUCAUUAAAAGUCACAGACACCUCAAAGAGUGAAAGAAAAUUGGAAUAAAAUAAAGCAGGAAUCUCUUCUAAGUGACAACUGAUGCUGAAGUCUGUGCACGGGUAGCACUGUGGUGGAUGCUCCUUCUUUCUGCCCUGCCUCCCACUGUGCCCAUCUAUGAAGGCAUUGGAAUGUGUUUGAAUAGAUUUCCAAUCUUACUUAAGUGACUCCUGCCAUCUUUAUAUAUGAUAUGAUAUCAUGUUGUUCUUCAUUGCUUUUUUGUUGUUUUGGCCUUUCUCAAGCCAAAAGCCUGAUUCUUGGCACCACAGAACCAGUCCCAUAUUAACUAAGAAAAUAACUUUCAUUGUCUACUGUUUAAAAAGGUUAUGCUAGUACAGGAUAUUUUCAUGGUGAUAUCAUGUAUAGUAAGAUAGGACCUAACAAGAACACCUGUGACAUGGUUCCACCUUUCUGCUUACCAGGACACCUGGAAAGACACUGUUGUGUUUUCAGACUCUCCUUGUUCCCACAUGAUUUUAGCCUUAGGUUGGGCCCUCAUGCUUUUCCCUACAGGAAUGUUCUAGGUGGCUGAGUUUUAGGAGGGCUAGAAUAUGCAGGUGAACUUCAUCAGUAUUUAUGCUUUUUUAAUGCAUUCUUCCAGUUGAUAUAUGGAUUCCAAAUUUGUGCCUUAAUAGUUUUUCAAAUUAUUUUGUUGUAUCAUGCAUAACCAGUUUGUUUCUGAUUAUCUAAUUUUCUUUAAAUAUUAUUUAUUUUGCUUUUCUAUAAACUAUAAGAAUAGUUUAAUAAAUAUUAUAAGUAUAAUAAAGAAUUGUUAUAGCUGGAUGUGGUACUGCUGUCCUGUGACUUCAACUCUUGGGAGGCUAAGGCAGGAAGACUGCUACUAGUUCCUAGUAGCCUUCAGUACAGAGUGGAUUCCAGGCCAGCCUGGAGUACAGAGGGAGACCUUGACUCAAGGUUGUAACAUGUAUGGUACAGAUCUAGCUCUUUGCCCACCUAUAGCUUACAGUAAUUUCCUGGGCUGAGUGGCUGUUUAGCAGCCAUGGUGUUCACUUUAUUUCACUUAAUACCUUAGUUAGAUACUCAAACGCACAAACUCUUGAUUGUUGCAGUAAAUAUUUGAUCUCAUUUGGGAAUUCCUACCCUACCUUUGAUCAUUCAGUUCCCAGAUAAAAGACAUACAACUUUCAUAUUUAUAAUAAGCUGUUAAAACACCAGAGCUGUGCAGACAUCAACCCUCUAUUCUAUUUUGCCUACUUCUUUGCAAAUAACCCUGAGAUUUAACUUGCCAUGUUUCCUCUGGGAGCUCUUAACUCGAACUGGCCAGACCUCAUUACCAUGUUUUCAUGACUCACCUACCCCAUGCCAUCUUCUUCUCUCUCUAACUUCUCUCUCUCGGCUCUUGCCUCAAUAUAUCUUCUGCCCAGCUGUAGGCUGUAGGCAUCUUUACUCACCAUUUAGGGAUAACCUGGGGGGGCAAGGUCACAUAGUAUCACCUGGGCCUAUGCGAAAAAAGAAGAACUAUCCACAGAGAGCCGUAGACUUUUAGUACCCACUCUCUGAAUUCUACUGGAUCAAGGUAGACUUAUAAUGAAUACCACGUGAUGUUUUAAGAUUAAUUGUUAUGUGGCUUGUGAGUGCCAGUUAGCUAUUAAUAGCUUAUUGGAAAAUUAAUCUUGAUAUUUUCUGCCACAAUAACCCAAGUAAAGAAUCUAUAACUCUUAAAUUCAUGCUUUAUAAAAUAUUUCAUAUGAGUCUAGGGAUAUUUGCCUAAGUAAAUUUUUUUUUUGUCAGAGAGGAGGAUCAUUAUCCUCUGGGGUCUAUUAAGAAUUAUUUAUUGAAUUACACACAAUGCC
Molecule: long non-coding RNA, 2621 nt
Filed under: Mus musculus (house mouse)
Lineage: Eukaryota; Metazoa; Chordata; Mammalia; Rodentia; Muridae
Description: long non-coding RNA chr6:61292550-61295171
Source: RNAcentral